RNAcentral lists this ribosomal RNA (310 nucleotides) under uncultured bacterium. Its description in RNAcentral is "partial 16S ribosomal RNA". It matches the Rfam family "Bacterial small subunit ribosomal RNA", at positions 355 to 657 of the family's 1533-position model. The record is from RNAcentral.
UAGGGAAUCUUCCACAAUGGACGCAAGUCUGAUGGAGCAACGCCGCGUGAGUGAAGAAGGUCUUCGGAUCGUAAAGCUCUGUUGUUGGUGAAGAAGGAUAGAGGCAGUAACUGGUCUUUAUUUGACGGUAAUCAACCAGAAAGUCACGGCUAACUACGUGCCAGCAGCCGCGGUAAUACGUAGGUGGCAAGCGUUGUCCGGAUUUAUUGGGCGUAAAGCGAGCGCAGGCGGAAUGAUAAGUCNGAUGUGAAAGCCCACGGCUCAACCGUGGAACUGCAUCGGAAACUGUCAUUCUUGAGUGCAGAAGAGG